Molecule: long non-coding RNA, 206 nt
Filed under: Mytilus galloprovincialis (Mediterranean mussel)
Lineage: Eukaryota; Metazoa; Mollusca; Bivalvia; Mytilida; Mytilidae
Source: RNAcentral
GUGUUCAUUAAAAAAAAGUCACAGAGACACCUUCAACAUGGAGCAAAGCUGUAGACACAUUUGCAAGUGUAAGAACGUCUCUACAUCAGUUUUGAUUGGACAUAACCUACAUCUAUGCAUUGAAGUACACUGUUGCCAGGCAAUAUCAACAAAUGACAGGAGGAGAAAGACACUUUUUAAACUCAUGAUGAUAGCUGACAAAUGUA